AUGGUGAGCUGGCCCGACAUUUGCAAACCCAAGGAUGAGGGUGGUCUUGGGAUCUUGUCUUCUCGGUGCAUGAACAUUGCUCUCCUGACCCGAUGGCUCUGGCGAAUCGCCAAUGGGAAGGGAGGACUCUGGCUUACCAUAAUCCACAAUAAGUACCUUUGGGGCCAACCUCUAUCUUUCUGUCAGCGAUCUGGUGGCUCCCAGUUCUGGUAG
This 213-nucleotide ribosomal RNA is filed under the name Triticum aestivum (bread wheat). RNAcentral describes it as "partial small subunit ribosomal RNA". The record is from RNAcentral. Lineage: Eukaryota; Viridiplantae; Streptophyta; Magnoliopsida; Poales; Poaceae.